GCUAAGCCAUAAACAUUGAUGGCACCCUCACCAAGCCUUCCGCCAGAAUAUUACAAGUGAAAAACUUAAAACUCAAAGGACUUGGCGGUGUCCCACCUCGACCUAGAGGAGCCUGUCCUAUAAUCGAUACUCCCCGCUCAACCCAACCUCAACUAGCAAUAUUCAGCCUAUAUACCGCCGUCGACAGUCUACCCCAUGAGGGUCCAACAGUAGACAUAAUAGCAGCCCUAUCGCUAAUACGUCAGGUCAAGGUGUAGCAAAUGUUGAGGAAGUGAUUGGCUACAUUUUUUAUUUUAAAACAUACGAAAUACAACAUGAAAUCAUGUACAAAGGUGAAUUUAGCAGUAAAAUAGGCAAGAGUGCCUACUUUAACAUCGCUCUGGGACGCGC
Molecule: ribosomal RNA, 390 nt
Filed under: Acanthodactylus erythrurus
Lineage: Eukaryota; Metazoa; Chordata; Lepidosauria; Squamata; Lacertidae
Description: partial 12S ribosomal RNA
Rfam family: Bacterial small subunit ribosomal RNA
Source: RNAcentral